This 497-nucleotide ribosomal RNA is filed under the name uncultured bacterium. RNAcentral's name for it is "partial 16S ribosomal RNA". It matches the Rfam family "Bacterial small subunit ribosomal RNA", at positions 28 to 507 of the family's 1533-position model. The record is from RNAcentral.
GAUGAACGCUGGCGGCGUGCCUAAUACAUGCAAGUCGAGCGAACGGACGAGAAGCUUGCUUCUCUGAUGUUAGCGGCGGACGGGUGAGUAACACGUGGAUAACCUACCUAUAAGACUGGGAUAACUUCGGGAAACCGGAGCUAAUACCGGAUAAUAUUUUGAACCGCAUGGUUCAAAAGUGAAAGACGGUCUUGCUGUCACUUAUAGAUGGAUCCGCGCUGCAUUAGCUAGUUGGUAAGGUAACGGCUUACCAAGGCAACGAUGCAUAGCCGACCUGAGAGGGUGUUGGGCCCACCUGGAACGGAGCCCCGCCCAAGACCCCGAGGGGGGCAAGCAGAGGGAAUUCUCCCGGAAGGGGCGAAGGCCGGACGGAGCACCCCGGCGUGAGUGAUAAGGGUCUUGGGUUCGUAAAACUUUGUUUUGGGGAAAAAAAAUAUGUGUAAGUAACUGUGCACAUCUGGCCGGUCCCUAAUCAGAAAGCCACGGCUAACUCGGUC